This 301-nucleotide ribosomal RNA is filed under the name uncultured bacterium. RNAcentral's name for it is "partial 16S ribosomal RNA". It matches the Rfam family "Bacterial small subunit ribosomal RNA", at positions 509 to 808 of the family's 1533-position model. The record is from RNAcentral.
CAGUCGCCGCGGGAAUACGUAGGUGGCAAGCGUUGUCCGGAAUUAUUGGGCGUAAAGGGAGCGCAGGCGGUUUAGUAAGUCUGAAGUUAAAGGCAUUGGCUCAACCAAUGUAUGCUUUGGAAACUGUUAGACUUGAGUGCAGAAGGGGAGAGUGGAAUUCCACGUGUAGCGGUGAAAUGCGUAGAUAUAUGGAGGAACACCGGUGGCGAAAGCGGCUCUCUGGCUUGUAACUGACGCUGAGGCUCGAAAGCGUGGGGAGCAAACAGGAUUAGAUACCCGGGUAGUCCCUGUCUCUUAUACA